AACGUAGGAGACAAACGUUAUCCGGAGUUACUGGGCGUAAAGGGCGUGUAGGUGGUAUCGUAAGUCUGGCGUGAAAUUUCUCGGCUUAACCGAGGCAGGUCGUCGGAUACUGCGAGGCUAGAGGACGGUAGAGGCGUGUGGAAUUCCGGGUGUAGUGGUGAAAUGCGUAGAGAUCCGGAGGAACACCAGUGGCGAAGGCGACACGCUGGGCCGUACCUGACACUGAUGCGCGACAGCAUGGGGGAGCAAACAGG
RNAcentral lists this ribosomal RNA (254 nucleotides) under uncultured bacterium. Its description in RNAcentral is "partial 16S ribosomal RNA". It matches the Rfam family "Bacterial small subunit ribosomal RNA", at positions 524 to 776 of the family's 1533-position model. The record is from RNAcentral.